Molecule: transfer RNA, 74 nt
Filed under: Natronocytophaga cellulosiphila
Lineage: Bacteria; Pseudomonadati; Bacteroidota; Cytophagia; Cytophagales; Cytophagaceae
Description: Cytophagaceae bacterium ABcell3 tRNA-Arg
Rfam family: tRNA
About the family: Transfer RNA (tRNA) molecules are approximately 80 nucleotides in length.
Source: RNAcentral
GGACCCGUAGCUCAGCUGGAUAGAGCAACUGCCUUCUAAGCAGUAGGUCUCUGGUUCGAAUCCAGACGGGUUCA